Molecule: microRNA, 22 nt
Filed under: Callorhinchus milii (elephant shark)
Lineage: Eukaryota; Metazoa; Chordata; Chondrichthyes; Chimaeriformes; Callorhinchidae
Description: Cmi-Mir-32_5p (mature (guide))
Source: RNAcentral
UAUUGCACACUACCAAGUUGCA